RNAcentral lists this ribosomal RNA (700 nucleotides) under uncultured bacterium. RNAcentral's name for it is "bacterial SSU rRNA". It matches the Rfam family "Bacterial small subunit ribosomal RNA", at positions 78 to 774 of the family's 1533-position model. The record is from RNAcentral.
UGCUGCUUCGCUGACGAGUGGUGGACGGGUGAGUAAUGUCUGGGAAACUGCCUGAUGGAGGGGGAUAACUACUGGAAACGGUAGCUAAUACCGCAUAACGUCGCAAGACCAAAGAGGGGGACCUUCGGGCCUCUUGCCAUCGGAUGUGCCCAGAUGGGAUUAGCUAGUAGGUGGGGUAACGGCUCACCUAGGCGACGAUCCCUAGCUGGUCUGAGAGGAUGACCAGCCACACUGGAACUGAGACACGGUCCAGACUCCUACGGGAGGCAGCAGUAGGGAAUCUUCGGCAAUGGACGAAAGUCUGACCGAGCAACGCCGCGUGAGUGAAGAAGGUUUUCGGAUCGUAAAACUCUGUUGUUAGAGAAGAACAAGGACGUUAGUAACUGAACGUCCCCUGACGGUAUCUAACCAGAAAGCCACGGCUAACUACGUGCCAGCAGCCGCGGUAAUACGUAGGUGGCAAGCGUUGUCCGGAUUUAUUGGGCGUAAAGCGAGCGCAGGCGGUUUCUUAAGUCUGAUGUGAAAGCCCCCGGCUCAACCGGGGAGGGUCAUUGGAAACUGGGAGACUUGAGUGCAGAAGAGGAGAGUGGAAUUCCAUGUGUAGCGGUGAAAUGCGUAGAUAUAUGGAGGAACACCAGUGGCGAAGGCGGCUCUCUGGUCUGUAACUGACGCUGAGGCUCGAAAGCGUGGGGAGCAAACA